Long non-coding RNA from Balaenoptera musculus (blue whale), 382 nucleotides. RefSeq lists it as uncharacterized. The record is from RefSeq and is a predicted model, not a curated record. The transcript is spliced from 3 exons. Lineage: Eukaryota; Metazoa; Chordata; Mammalia; Artiodactyla; Balaenopteridae.
AGCCCCUGAUGCUGGGUCCUUUGCCCUUGAACUGGACUGCUGGAGGCUGAACUCGGGUACAUGAAGAUUCUUCAUCUAGUGUCUUACGUGUCACUGUCUGCAAAAGGAUCUUCUGUUCCAGAGCACAGGCUGAAAGCUAGAGACAAGCAGCACUCGUUACGCCUGUAAGGAUAUCAUGAAUUUAACAGGGACCAAACCUCAGGGAGGAGUCCCCAAGAAACAUCCCCCGAGAAAGACUAGGAGGAAGAAGCUAGAAACCAGGCCCUAGGGCGCUGAGAGGCAGCCAGAAAGAUUUUCCAGCAUGGUCACCACCUCCUCCCCACUCUCUGGAUGAUGUUCCUGCAGCCGGGCCUGGAGCUCCUGGGGCAGGAUGGAGAGGAAC